RNAcentral lists this ribosomal RNA (461 nucleotides) under uncultured bacterium. RNAcentral describes it as "partial 16S ribosomal RNA". It matches the Rfam family "Bacterial small subunit ribosomal RNA", at positions 28 to 507 of the family's 1533-position model. The record is from RNAcentral.
GAUGAACGCUGGCGGCGUGCUUAACACAUGCAAGUCGAACGAUGAAGCCCAGCUUGCUGGGUGGAUUAGUGGCGAACGGGUGAGUAACACGUGAGUAACCUGCCCUUAACUCUGGGAUAAGCCUGGGAAACUGGGUCUAAUACCGGAUAGGAGCGUCCACCGCAUGGUGGGUGUUGGAAAGAUUUAUCGGUUUUGGAUGUACUCGCGGCCUAUCAGCUUGUUGGUGAGGUAAUGGCUCACCAAGGCGACGACGGGUAGCCGGCCUGGGAGGGUGACCGGCCACACUGGGACUGAGACACGGCCCAGACUCCUACGGGAGGCAGCAGUGGGGAAUAUUGCACAAUGGGCGCAAGCCUGACGCAGCCAUGCCGCGUGAAUGAUGAAGGUCUUAGGAUUGUAAAAUUCUUUCACCGGGGACGAUAAUGACGGUACCCGGAGAAGAAGCCCCGGCUAACUUCGUG